RNAcentral lists this ribosomal RNA (460 nucleotides) under uncultured bacterium. RNAcentral describes it as "partial 16S ribosomal RNA". It matches the Rfam family "Bacterial small subunit ribosomal RNA", at positions 338 to 795 of the family's 1533-position model. The record is from RNAcentral.
CCUACGGGAGGCAGCAGUGAGGAAUAUUGGUCAAUGGACGCAAGUCUGAACCAGCCAUGCCGCGUGCAGGAAGACGGCUCUAUGAGUUGUAAACUGCUUUUGUACGAGGGUAAACGCAGAUACGCGUAUCUGUCUGAAUGUAUCUUACGAAUAAGGAUCGGCUAACUCCGUGCCAGCAGCCGCGGUAAUACGGAGGAUUCAAGCGUUAUCCGGAUUUAUUGGGUUUAACGGGUGCGUAGGCGGUCGGAUAAGUCAGAGGUGAAAUCCCGAGGCUCAACUUCGGAAUUGCCUCUGAUACUGUUAGGCUAGAGAGUAGUUGCGGUAGGCGGAAUGUAUGGCGUAGCGGUGAAAUGCUUAGAGAUCAUACAGAACACCGAUUGCGAAGGCAGCUUACCAAGCUACGUCUGACGUUGAGGCACGAAAGCGUGGGGAGCAAACAGGAUUAGAUACCCCAGUAGUC